GACGAACCGUGCGAACGUUGUUCGGAAUCACUGGGCUUAAAGGGCGCGUAGGCGGCGGAUCGAGUCCGGGGUGAAAGCCCCCAGCUUAACUGGGGAAGGGCCUCGGAGACUGGUCCGCUCGAGGGAGGUAGGGGUCGCGGGAACUUCCGGUGGAGCGGUGAAAUGCGUUGAUAUCGGAAGGAACGCCGGUGGCGAAAGCGCGCGACUGGACCUCUUCUGACGCUGAGGCGCGAAAGCCAGGGGAGCGAACGGG
RNAcentral lists this ribosomal RNA (253 nucleotides) under uncultured bacterium. Its description in RNAcentral is "partial 16S ribosomal RNA". It matches the Rfam family "Bacterial small subunit ribosomal RNA", at positions 524 to 776 of the family's 1533-position model. The record is from RNAcentral.